GAGUUUGAUCCUGGCUCAGAACGAACGCUGGCGGCAGGCUUAACACAUGCAAGUCGAACGACAUAGUGGCAGACGGGUGAGUAACGCAUGGGAACGUACCCUUCACUACGGAAUAGCUUCUGGAAACGGAAGGUAAUACCGUAUACGCCCUUCGGGGGAAAGAUUUAUCGGUGAAGGAUCGGCCCGCGUUAGAUUAGUUUGUUGGUGGGGUAAUGGCCUACCAAGACUACGAUCUAUAGCUGGUCUGAGAGGAUGAUCAGCCACACUGGGACUGAGACACGGCCCAGACUCCUACGGGAGGCAGCAGUGGGGAAUCUUGCACAAUGGGCGAAAGCCUGAUGCAGCCAUGCCGCGUGAAUGAUGACGGCCUUAGGGUUGUAAAAUUCUUUCGCCAGGGAUGAUAAUGACAGUACCUGGUAAAGAAGCCCCGGCUAACUUCGUGCCAGCAGCCGCGGUAAUACGAAGGGGGCUAGCGUUGUUCGGAAUUACUGGGCGUAAAGCGCGCGUAGGCGGGCUAUUAAGCCAGAUGUGAAAGCCCGGGGCUCAACCCCGGAAUUGCAUUUGGAACUGGUAGCCUAGAGACCAGGAGAGGUUAGCGGAAUACCGAGUGUAGAGGUGAAAUUCGUAGAUAUUCGGUGGAACACCAGUGGCGAAGGCGGCUAACUGGACUGGUACUGACGCUGAGGCGCGAAAGUGUGGGGAGCAAACAGGAUUAGAUACCCUGGUAGUCCACACCGUAAACGAUGAAUGCUAGUUGUCUGCGCGCAUGCGUGCAGGUGACGCAGCUAACGCAUUAAGCAUUCCGCCUGGGGAGUACGGCCGCAAGGUUAAAACUCAAAGAAAUUGACGGGGGCCCGCACAAGCGGUGGAGCAUGUGGUUUAAUUCGAAGCAACGCGCAGAACCUUACCCGCGUUUGACAUGCCCUGUUUGGUUACCAGAGAUGGUUUCCUUCAUUUAGUUGGCAGGUGCACAGGUGCUGCAUGGCUGUCGUCAGCUCGUGUCGUGAGAUGUUGGGUUAAGUCCCGCAACGAGCGCAACCCUUAUCCUUAGUUGCCAGCACGUUUGGGUGGGCACUCUAAGGAAACUGCCGGUGCUAAGCCGGAGGAAGGCGGGGAUGACGUCAAGUCCUCAUGGCCCUUACACGCGGGGCUACACACGUGCUACAAUGGCAGUGACAAUGGGAUAAUCCCAAAAAGCUGUCUCAGCUCAGAUUGUCCUCUGCAACUCGAGGGCAUGAAGUUGGAAUCGUCUAGUAAUCGUGGAUCAGCAUGCCACGGUGAAUACGUUCCCGGGCCUUGUACACACCGCCCGUCACAUCAUGGGAGUUGGAUCUACCCGAAGACUGUGCGCUAACUUCGGAGGCAGCAGGCCACGGUAGGUUCAGCGACUGGGAUGAAGUCGUAACAAGGUAGCCGUAGGGGAACCUGCGGCUGGAUCACCUCCUUUCU
RNAcentral lists this ribosomal RNA (1449 nucleotides) under uncultured organism. Its description in RNAcentral is "bacterial SSU rRNA". It matches the Rfam family "Bacterial small subunit ribosomal RNA". The record is from RNAcentral.